AUGCUCAACUCAGCAACACACACAGUAAAAUUGGAGUAAUACAAAGAUUAGCAUGGGCCCCGCACAAGGAUGACAUGCAAAUUCGUGAAGCGUUCCAUAUUUUA
This 104-nucleotide small nuclear RNA is filed under the name Moschus moschiferus (Siberian musk deer). The record is from RNAcentral. Lineage: Eukaryota; Metazoa; Chordata; Mammalia; Artiodactyla; Moschidae.